This 253-nucleotide ribosomal RNA is filed under the name uncultured bacterium. RNAcentral describes it as "partial 16S ribosomal RNA". It matches the Rfam family "Bacterial small subunit ribosomal RNA", at positions 524 to 776 of the family's 1533-position model. The record is from RNAcentral.
UACGAAGGGGGCUAGCGUUGCUCGGAAUCACUGGGCGUAAAGCGCACGUAGGCGGGUCUUUAAGUCAGGGGUGAAAUCCCGGAGCUCAACUCCGGAACUGCCUUUGAUACUGGAGAUCUUGAGUCCGGGAGAGGUGAGUGGAACUCCGAGUGUAGAGGUGAAAUUCGUAGAUAUUCGGAAGAACACCAGUGGCGAAGGCGGCUCACUGGCCCGGUACUGACGCUGAUGCGCGAAAGCCAGGGGAGCGAACGGG